This is a long non-coding RNA of Nicotiana attenuata, 3042 nucleotides long. RefSeq lists it as uncharacterized. The transcript has 3 exons. The record is from RefSeq and is a predicted model, not a curated record. Lineage: Eukaryota; Viridiplantae; Streptophyta; Magnoliopsida; Solanales; Solanaceae.
UGAUGAAAAAAACAACGUUGUUGAUAAAGACGCGAAUUCUCCGCCCUCCCGGUUCUUCGUCAAGGUUUCAGCAAAACCCUGAUUCACUAAACUCCCGAAAAAUUCAGGUAACAAUGGUGACAGCGAUGGACUGCAGGAGCUGGGACGAAGACAUGUACAGAGACUCCAUUUUACUGGAGAGAGAAUCCCAAUGCCGAACUGUUUUCCGUACUGCAUUCGCCCCGAACACGAAUCCAAACCGUAAUUCUUAUCCGGACCUCAUUGUCGCCGCAACGGCACUAUCGCCUCUUACUCCAUCUCCUCUUGCCUCGUAAUCUCAAUAUCUCACUCUAACUUAAAGAAGCAAAAGUUAUUAACUAAAGUACUUAGUUUUUUUUUCUUUCUUUUUUUUGCUUCUUCGUCUUGGUAGGAUUGAGGUCCGCGGGUAGGUAAGUUCCUGUUUUCUCCAUGUUUUCGAAGUGUGGCGGUCAUCGUUUGGAUUGAAUUGAUAAUUUAUUUGGUAAAUUUGGUUUAGUUCGUUGGUGCUAGUUGUUGAAUCUAGUUGGCUGGUACAAGGACAUGAUGGACCUGCUUAUGAUGUUAAAUUUUAUGGUAACGAUGAGGAUUCACUGUUAUUGAGGUAUUUGUUCUUAUAAACUUUUUCGGUUCGUAUGUAUUCACUAAAAUUGUAGGUGAGUUAGCACAAACGGAAAACAAUUCAAGUUUUUGUUUGGAGUGAAAACUGAACACUAUGGGCAUAUAUUUCUUCAAGCAUUUGAAAUGCAGGUAGAUAUCUAUUAAAUUAACUAGAGCUCAUAUGUCUUAAAUGGUCCUAGCUAGUGACUGAGCUGUCAAACAACUAGGUCAACUGAUUUUCUUUUCAAUUGGUAUACGUAAACGGGGAGGCAAUUAUCUCAUGGUACUUAUCAUUCAUAAAUAAAGGAAUUAUCUAGUAUAAUUUCUUCAAUCACUGUUAUUUAUGUUCUACUAUACAUGCCGAUUCUUUGUUAAUGUAGGUGAUAUCAUGCAGUUGUGGUGAUGAUGGUCGGAUUCGUGGAUGGAAAUGGAAAGAAUUAUUGGGGUCUAACUUCUAAGGAGCUGGUGCAAGGUACAAUUUUUUCGUGUGCAGCGAUAGAUCCUUGACUGGUUUGGGAUUGAGUUGACUAGUCAUAGAGGUCCGUGGGGUUCGCUUUCUCCAAUUCCAGUGAAUAAUUGCAUGGCUGUUAAUACUCAGGUUUGUUGUCCUUUUAUUUUUUUCUAAAUCAACCGAGUGGCUUCUUGAUUGACAGUCUGGAAUGAGUGGAUUGGACUAUAUGUAAGUCUGAUUGCAGUUGACAGAAACAACUUCUCUACUCCUUUGGGGUAGAGGUAAGGUCUACGUACACACUACCCUACCCAUACCCCACUUGUGGGAUUUUACUAGGUCGUUGUUGUUGAUUGCAGUUGACGCGUUAGCUGGUUCAGACAGGACCCAGGAGGUAUAGGUAGAUUGUGGUUAGUUAUCUUUUCCUGGUUAGAGUCUCGUUUUGGUACUGAGAUGCAAACCAGUUCUUUAAGUACAGAUGCUUUUUGUUAUGAAGGAAUAUCUUGGGUCCUUCACUACAUUAUGAUGGUCAUUGAAACCUAUAUACUGUGCAGCAAUGAGGCAAUAUUUCAUUUCAUUUCCUUUUUACAAAGAAGAGAGUGAAGUGUGGUGGCGGUGGAAGCUAUUAUUUUUUUCAAAUUGUGUAAUCUACUAGAAUUGCUAAAUUUGUGGAUGAACUACAAAAGAAUAUCUUAGUAGCAGACAAUUUGUCUUAUUCAUUUGAUUCUUUGGUGCAUUACUUUUGGGGGGUUGCCGGUCUUCUUUUGUACAUUAGACCUACUCUAUUUUGAUAUAGUAUUGUGUGUGUGAUUCUUGAAUACCAAAUUUCGUGAAGGAUUCCAGGCACAACCGUAGGAAGUGGUUUGGAGAGAAGAAUCAAGUGACUACGUAGGGAUUCAUGUUGAGUGGACUUCCGGGUUACGGUACCAUAGCUAGAGCUGUUAGUUCAAAGUGUCUGACAUAGUUAACUCUGUUAAUUUACCUGUUUAUAUCACAUGGAUUCUUCUCUUUCGUAGGUCAAGUCUGAUAUUCUGAUUGAUCCUUUUCAAAACUUACCUCAAAGUUGUCAUGUCUACAUAUUUUUAUUUAAUAUUUUGUGUUCCACUGUAGACUGGAUCCAUUUUUGCUGCUGCUGCUGAUUCUUGUGCAUACUGCUGGGAUUUGCUCAAGGUGUAUUGUUGACUCCUAUUAUGAGAUCUCUUAAUCGAUUCAUUCUUUUGGUUUACUUUAUCGACUUAUACUUCGACUCUCUUCGUUGCUUAUUCUAAAUAAGAUUUUUGUCAUGAAAAUCUAAAUAAAGUUAAGGUGCUUAGGAGUAGAAUGAAGUAAAGUUGGUUUUGAAAGGACAUUCAGACUACUUGCAUUGCAUCGUUGCGGGAAAUUCUCACAAUCAGGUUAUAACUGGUUCAGAGGAUGUGACAGCACGCAUAUGUCUUUAAUAUUCUUUCUACUUCUAGCACUAGGAGCACAAGGUCUGCCGCAGGGGCAUCUAGUUUUUUUUAUCGUUCAGUAAUAGGAGCACAAGGCCUGAUGAAUGGCCAAUGCUGGCUUUUAUUGAUUUGGGCUCUCUCUGUUAUUUAGAAGUUACACAUGAUUUUGCUCAUUUGGAUCUUUCUUUUUUUAUGUUUUGAUUAUUUGUCUAUUAUUUGUGAAAUUGCCUUAGAUUGCAGAACUGGUAAAUGUAUUCAAAUAAUUGAUCCGCCAAAGGAUAAGAAGUGGAGGGAGUUGUUUCCAUAUGUCAGUUGCAUUGCUCUUGAUUUAAGUGAGAGUUGUCUGGUAAGAGUUCAGAUUCCUUUAAACACCAAAUGAACUUUCUCGUAAGUUUGCUACUGCACCAACAAUUACAAUUGUUGUAUUGACCAAUCAAAAGUUCUCUCUGUUGUAUUGUGAAAUUACAGAAGCUUACUUUUGUUAAUGAUGUUGGGAUGACCUACUGUAUGAUUAUAAUAAUCUUGUCAAUGAUGACCGGUUUUCUUGAA